UCCCCCAGUGAACAGUGCUGCGUAGCCGGCGAGGCAACCGGUCCCUGGCAGUUGAGACCGGUCCCCGAGCGCGUCUGCGCGGGGAGAGACCGGUCCCGCGCAGGGAGAGACCGGUUCCCGAACGUUGGAUUUUCGGGGGCAGGCUGAGAGACCGGUCCCAGGUCGGGGAGACCGGUCCCUCUUGGCGAAAACUGCCCAGACCGGGCUGAUGGGAUUUUGGAUUUUUGAGGGGCUUAUCUGGAUUUUAUUACUUUAGAGCCUAUAGAGAGCCCUCAUUCUCUCUCUUUCCCUCAUUUCUCUCAACCCUUGGCAUUUUAGAGAGAGAAGAAGAGAGGGAGAAGAAGAAGAAGAAGAAGAAGAGGAGAAGGAGCUUGCUUAGAGGCUUUGGAGCAUCAUCUUCUUCCCAUUUCCUCACCUUGGUGGCUUCGAGCUUGCGGUUGGAGCUUUGUGGAGGAUCAAACUUCAACCCUACUUGGUUUUGAGCUUGGAUUGGAGCUUCUCUUGAGGUUGGUAGCUUGUAAUCCCCUUUUGAUACAUGUUUUCCUAGGUUUUACUAGAUGAAACCCUAGAUUUUGGGAUUUUGGGUUUGUUUUGGGGGGUUUUUGGAUUUGAGGGUUUUGAGACCUAAUUGAUGGGUUUAGAACCUUUGUUUAGAUUAGAUUGGAAGGACUCUAACUCCCAUUUGGAGAUCGUGAGAGCCUCUUCCGCAAUCGGUAAGUUUUCUCCAACCCUAGCUUGAGAAGCUUAAUGAUUGAGCUAUUUGCUCUUCGUUUCGUUUGGGUGACUCUAUUUUUGAUGUUUCUAGGGUAUUAGGAAGCUUGUGGAUACCUUCGUUCGGCGAAACGAAGAAGUCGAUUUUGGUGGGUUUGACUUCAUGAAAAUAGGGGAAAAUGGUCCCUAUACCUUCUAAACUUUUCGUAAAGUAUUUUUGAAUGCAAAUUCAUGCUAAAUAUGAUUUAUAUGAAUUUUAGAACACUUAACAUGCAUGCCCCAUACAUCGUAAAAUUUGUACUCCAUAUAGUAGAGCUAUAUGUGUAGAUUGCACGCAUUAUGGAUAGGGCUUGGUUUUGCAAGUUGAGAACAUAUCUCUAUGCUAGAAUUGAGUGAAUUAUGCAUCAUGAACAUAUUAAUUCCAUGCUUGGAACUCGUUGAACAAAAGUGUCAUAAAGGGGCACUUGGAAUUAGUAAACUAUGAAAAUGCAACUUAGAGACAUAUUGAUAGGCCACUGCAUAUCUGCUAUAUUCCAUGUUAGAGACAUGAUGACAUAGAGAUAGGCCACUGAGAUACUUGAUCUAUAUUCCAUGUUGUUAGACAUAAGGACUUGGUACUUGAGACAGAUCAUUGCUUGCUUGCCAUUGUGCUCAUUCGCACAUGCUUGUGAGGGUCGCUCCCUACAAGCCGGCACUCCGGAGAUAGCCAUCGCGACAUAUGCUCGCCCGUGCGGGAUUGGGCGUCGAAGUGGAUUGCCAUGGGGGAGGCUCAUUCCUAGAGUGGGGAUGUUGACUACCACGGGGCCAUUAGGCACGGCGCAGGUCAGACAGCCUUCGGGUGGGUCUUAUAUGAUUGGGACUUAGUGACAGAACGUGCUAUGUGAACUUUAAAACUAUUAAAGUGGACUUGAACUAGAAUAGUAAACAAAGACAUCUUUACUAUUUUGAAUUGAGAACAUUGGAUUGGUUGCAUUCCUACGUUUAUGCAUGUCAUACACACCCAUGUACAUUCAUGAUAUAGUUGCUUUAUUACUUAUGCUAGUUAUGCUAAGUAGAGAUAUCAGGUUGUAGUAAGUGCAUUUUUACUUACCUUUCGUUUUUCUACUUUUAUAGUCACUGACAUCUCUUGUAGCUUUGGGCCUUGUGGUGUACUCACUGAAGUCAGUAAUUGCCCACUGGAAACUAUUUUUAGUAGUUCUCACGUCCCUGUUUUAUAGUUUACUUUUCAGAGCCUUCGGCACCGGCAGAGGCACGGGAUCGCGGCAAGGGGAUCGCAUAGCUAGUUAGCGAGGAGCGGUUCUUUGCCUUUGUGGUUUACUCUCUCCUUUGUAGUAGAGAGAGAGAGUGAGAGGUUUUUGUAUCAUAUAUAGAGACCACCUAUGUAUCUACCUAUAGCACUUGUAUUUGGGAUUUCCUAUUGUACUUACCUUAUGUCUUAUUUAGUGGAUUUACAGUUUUACCCUUAUCCUUUGUUGUAGCAUUUAGACAUUUAUUAUGCUCUGAUACUCCUAGAUGUCUUUUAUUAUUGCUUUUAUUAUUGUUGUUUUUAGACGCCUUAUAUGUUUUAGACGUAUGGCGGGUCUGGGCACGCGCCGGGCGGGCUUCCGCUGGGUCCCGGGGCGUGACAGAUGGUCAAUGUCAUGCCCACUUCGUUCUUCAAAAAGCUGGGCAAGGACGAAGAUGAGUUGAAGCCCACUGACACAAUUAUGACCGACUUCACCGGUAGCGGUCAACAAGCUCGAGGGGUGCUUACGACCGAGAUUACGGUAGGUUCUAAAACUUUACGAACUGCAUUUUUUGUAGUGGAUGCAGAUAGCCACUACAACCUACUACUCGGACGCGAUUGGAUACACGCAAACGAAUGCGUGCCUUCUACACUCCACGGAAAAUUAUUCCAGUGGAUAGGAGAUUAAGUUGAAGAAAUCCGGGCCGAAGGACGGCCCCAAAUGGUGGAUGUCAACGCAAAAGAGGUUGACCACAUCAAUUGGGCCGACGCUGAUCCAGACCAAAUCUCUUUUGUAAGAGUUACGGAGGAGGGGAUUCAGUUAAUCCUCUCUAAAGACAAAGAAGCUAUGGUGGUAGCCGAAGAGCCACCAAGUUGACUAAAAUGGAAUGUGAAGAAUCAAGAACCGAAGCUUUAGAGAAGCUUCGGCAAGAAGAGCUGAUCGACAGGAUCGGCUGUGUGAUAAAUUCGGCCCAGCAGGCCGAUGAUGCGGUGUACAACAAGAAGGCCGAAAAGGCCGAUAAUGAACAUGUAGUAAAAUCGGUUGUUAAAGCCAAUAUGAAAAAUAUGGGGAACUCGGCUGUUCAAGCCGAAUGUGAUACACCAGAUGAAGUGAUUAGGCGAACAACUAACUUGAAUUUAGAAUAAUCGCCUAUCAAAGUCGGUAAAAAGAAAUUGAAAACUCAGGAUCCAUUAAUUGAAGUAAACUUAGGAUCCGAUGGAGACAAGAAGCCGACUUAUAUUAGUGCCAAGCUUUCGAUUCAACAAUAAGAGGAGCUGAAAGAAUUGCUAAAUGAGUAAAAAGACUGCUUUGCCUGGAGCUAUGAAGAAAUGACAGGACUAAGCCGAGAAAUUGUAGAGUAUAGACUACCUAUUAAAAAAGGAUAUAAGCCUUACAAACAGCCGGCUCGUAGGUUUGAGUCAAAUAUUGUACUCCAAAUCAAAAAUGAAAUAGAAAAUCUUUUAAAGGCCGGUUUUAUAAGAGCGGCCCGUUAUGUUGAUUGGGUAUCCAAUAUAGUUCCAGUGCGAAAAAAGAAUGACAAACUUAGAGUUUGCAUUGGAUUUAGGAACUUAAAUUUGACAACACCUAAGGAUGAAUAUCCAAUGCCAAUAGCCAAUAUAUUAGUAGAUUCGGCUGCCGGUAAUGAAAUCCUGUCUUUUAUGGACGGACAUGCUGGUUAUAAUCAAAUUUUCAUUGUCGAAGAAAACAUAGCUAAAACGGCCUUUAGAUGCCCAGGGUCUAUUAGAACCUUUGAAUGGGUAGUCAUGCCGUUCGGUUUAAAAAAUGCCAGAGCUACUUAUCAAAGAGCAAUGAAUUUUAUUUUCCAUGAUUUAAUCGGCAAAAUGUUGGAGAUUUACAUUGAUGAUAUAGUUGUGAAAUCCAAAUCACAAGCCGAACAUUGGGUAGAUUUAAAGCUCGCCUUUGAAAGAAUGAGAAAAUUUAAUUUGAAGAUGAAUCCUUUGAAGUGUGCUUUUGGAGUCUCAGCAGGAAAUUUUCUGGGAUUUUUGGUACAUAAGAAGGGGAUUGAAAUCGAUAAAAACAAGGCGAAAGGUAUAUCAGAAUUGUCGCUACCAAAAAGCAAAAAAGAGUUGCAAAACUUGUUGGGAAAAAUCAAUUACUUGCGGUGAUUUAUAUCGAAUCUGGCCGGUAGAAUAGGGGUUUUCACUCCAUUAUUUCGGCUUAAAAGUAAAGAAGAAUUUAUUUGGACAGAAGAACAAUAAGGAGCAUUUAUAAAGAAAUAUUUAACAAAUCCUCAAGUUCUUAUACCUCCUAAACAAGGACAGCCGAUGAAGUUAUACAUUUUGGCUGUGGAAGAAAAUUUAGGAUGUUUGUUGGCCCAAGAAAAUGAAGAAAAAGAAGAACAUGCCAUUUAUUAUUUAAGCCGACGAUUAUUAGAUACUGAAAAACGAUAUUCGGCUAUUGAAAAAUUAUGUUUGGCUUUAUAUUACUCUUGUACAAAAUUAAGAUAUUAUAUUUUACCAACCGAAGUAUCGGUAAUAUGUAAAACCAAUCUGGUAAAAUAUAUGUUAUCUAAGCCAGUUUUGAGAGGAAGAAUCGGAAAGUGGAUGUUAGCCUUAUCUGAAUUUUCCCUCAAUUAUGUUCCGACAAAAGCUGUUAAAGGACAAGCGAUAGUCGAUUUUCUGGCUGAUCAUCCAUGUGACGAAAUCGAGGAGCCGAAACAAAAUUUAGUCGGCUGUCAACCUUGGAUCCUUUACUUUGACGGCUCAAGAACAGCCGAGUCCGCAGGAGCUGGAAUAGUUAUACACUCUCCUGAUGGAUAUUCAUGUCAAUUUGUCACGCCCCGGGGUCCCCUUUUAGUUUGAAACACAGCGGAAAAGCGUUUAAAUUUUUUCUUUUAGUUUGAAACACAGCGGAAAAGCGUUUAAAUUUUUUUUUUUGAAAACCUGACCCCAGAGUAUGCCAGAUCCGCCACAAAUACAGGGAAUCCACUGUUCACACGGACAGAGUCUCCCCUGUAUUUACACGGGGUCACACAAGUACAAAAGUACAAACAGUAUACAACCACAACUAAAUGAAUAUACAGAUAGCUAUACAUUCAUACAUUCACCAUUCACACCGUAGUUUUACAUUCGAUGUUUAAACAAAAGUCCACGAAAAAUCUUUUGAAAACUGUUCCAUACGCGAAAACUUUUAUCUUUUAUAAAAGCUACCACGAGGGGUAGAAAACCUUUUAUUUUACCAAAUCCAGAAAUCCUUUUAUUACAUUCAUGAAAGUCCACAUAUUCCAAUGUAAUAAAAAUACUGAACCAUAUAAACUGACUAAGCUAUAACAACAGAAUAGUAGGGAUAAAACUAAACCGAUAACCUGGGUCGGAAGCUCUAUCGACCGCUACGAACGUACCUCACGUCUCGUCCCAAAACUCAACGCCUGCAAUACCUGAAAAAUAGUGGGGGAGGUGAGAACAUGUAAACAUGUCUCCCCUCCCAGUGGGUACCGCAAGCCGAUGAAGGCGAGGAGUACUCACCGGAUCAGGAAGAGCUAAACAACAGUACGGGUCAGUAGAAAAUACAGUAGCAAUAAUAAUGAAUGAAAGAGACAUAUAUAUGAAAGAAAGUACAACUACCGCUACUGUAAUGAACAACUGAAUGUAUACAUGUAACAAGACUAUAGUAGCAAGACAAUGUAACGAAAGAACUGAAGAUAUACAAGUGACCACUGCUACUAUAGUUAUAUGCGUCAACCGGACAAGUAGUCCAAAAGUACCCAAUCUAAACCGCCGUGUCGGUCUAAGGACCUCAGGCAAAAGCCACUACCUGCUCGCACCUGGCAUGUAACCCUAGCACAAAGAGAACACCGCUGGGCUCACGGGUCGGAUGUACGACCACUUUUCCGGAAAAGAACACCCUCCUGCGGGGGAUCAACCCGCUGGUGUACGUGAAAUGCACUCGAGCUGUGGCGAUCAAUGCGGAUAUGAUCAAUAGCCAAAUGUCGGCAACCAGCCGACAAUCACCGCCCCUCGGGGCAAACCGACCAAUAGGUCAUCAAACUAUAUAGAAGCACAAGAACCGACUACUCAGGUCAACUAAGAGGGAACCACUCAACAUCCUACCGAAGGUAUACAAGCACUGACUACUAAUGUCAACUAACAUAUAUGCACGACGAACCGACGAAUAGGUCACCAGAGUAUAUCAAUAGAAUCCCGAAUUACCGUCGGCCACUAGCCGACAAUCCAACCCCUCAGGGUACACCGACCUCAUAGGUCAUCAAACGACAGGACUCACGAAGCUGACUGACUAGGUCACAAAUAUGCCAAAUAGUGGAACUGUGUAAACUAUAAUCAUCCGUCGGUGCUAACCGACAAUCCCACCCCUUAGGGUAUACCGACCUCAAGGGUCAUCGAACGAUGUACGAGAACCGACCAAUCAGGUCACCGAAACGAAGUACCAGAACCGACCAACCAGGUCAACAGAUACAGAAUGCAACAACCAACCAACUAGAUCAACAGAUACGGAAUGCAACAACCAACCAAUUAAGUCAACAGAUACGCAUAUAGAUAGAACUGCUCUACUCCUACUCGGGAUACUAAGCAUGCAAACAACGAGUAGUGUAUAACGAAUAAACAAGGGUGCAAGGCUCAAUAUACUAUGCGAUAGUAACAACAGAAGAGUAAGGGUAAGAAACCAUCACCGAGCGUGCACCACUGUACCGACGUCGGAUCGAAGUACCCACCUGUACAAAUGCUGCGCCUGUCUCCUGACUGCAAAAGGACGUCAACCGGACCUAAGGAAGGUCCACCGGGUUAGUGUCUAACCCACAGCUAAUAACCACUAAAUCCACAACCUACAAGCAAACCCAUGGAGAUCGGUUUCCCAAACCGAUCGCCGUAAUACGCCGGAAGUCCCGUAAUCGCACGGGGACUCCGCCGGGAGCCACGAACUGUCCCGGAACAUACCGACUCGAGCUACGAGUCACCUGCUGCCACUAAACAUAAAUAAUCGUGCAUCAUGGCAGCGAACACAACUCCUCGUGUCGAAACAAUUAUCGUCGGAUAAUCGUUUCGAUUCGGGUUCCCGGAAGUGUCUAAUUCGACACCGGAACCCACCGUCGCUCACCCGUCAUUUCCGAACUCUCGAAAUGACGCAAGUGACCAGCCAACAAGGCUCAGCGACUACACAAAAGCUCACGAAGCACCGUCGGAAUAAUUCCGAACCGAACCCGCGUUCCGUCGGCGGAUUUCGCCGAAAAACGCACCGGAAAUGCAUUUCCGAUCUUCGCAAGGGUCUGGGGCCUUGGACAAUCAGUCCAGAGGUUAUCCUCAACCAACACUUGCUGCCAACAGCAGCUACGACGAACCAAAAUGCAUAAAAGCCCUCCUGAAUACCUGAAAUCGCAUUAUUUCAUGCGAUUUCGGCGCUUUUACGGUCCAACUACGCAAACCAGAGGUCAAACUGCCGAGCCAAGAUACCCACUGAUAGGUUUCGAUGUGCCGGAGGCCGUGCUCACCUUUCGGAGCACUGCCAACCCUUGUGGCAAACGCACACCCGACGCGAACCUCAGCGAAACAGCGCGCACAGCGCUUACAUUGCGUCAAAUUCGCAAACCAGGGCAUCGUUGACCCCAACGGAGGUGAGCACGACGUUCGGCAUGAAACGAGGAUGAUCGUGCUCACUUCCACAUUCACCGGGGUGCCUUCGGAUCGCCUGAAGGGUGACCGGAACCCUAAAACUGAGUGCUGUAACUAAAGUUUCAGCUUACCAGAUCCGAGAGAGCUAGGGUUGGCCGGCAGCUGCCGGAAGGUGGGCGCUCCGGCCGGGGACGAGCGUGGAAGGUCGGAGGGGUCCCGGGCAGGCGCUGCCCGGCGGCGGAAGGCGGCCGGUGGCGCGGCGGCACAGAUCAACCCGAGACUUGCUCUCGGGUUCAUGGGUUCCGCGGCGGUCCGGCGGCGGCCGGAGGAGCUCCGGGAGGCGACGGUCUGUCGGCGGAGGUCGAGGAGGAGGAGGUGCUCCCGACGGUGGGCGGCGGCGGCCCUCGAAGGCCGUACUGGUCCAAGCAGGGCCCGCACGCGCUCGGGACGGCCGCAGAGAGCUCGGGCGGCGGCCGGCGGCGUGCGGGGACGGCGGGGAGGCGCGCGCGAGGUCGCCGGAGGUCGCCAGAGGGCGGCGCGGCCGAUAGGGAGCGGUGGCGGCGCGCGGAUGCAAAGAUGACCCAAGCUCGGCCUGGGUGCAUGCAGGUGGCCGCAGAGAGCUGGGGCGGCUCCGGCGGCGUGCGCUGACGGUGGGGCCGGCGGCGGAGGUCGCCGGGGCUCCGAGGAAGGGUGUCUCGGCCGUCCCAAGGUGGCGGCGGCAGUGCUAGCAGGGAGCUAAAGCUCCUGGGCCAGAUCUGCCAAGAUCUGGCCGCAGCCUGUCUGGGCGGCGGCGGCGGUGCGCAGGGACGACGGCGGCGACGAGGGGAGUCGCCGAAGGCUGGGCCACGGCCAGGGGACAACGGUGCUCGAGCUAGGUGGCUACCAGGGUCCGCAAACCACAAUGCGGUGAAGGGGUUGGCCAAAAGGGAGAGAAAGAGAGGUGAUGCAGGGAUUUCCGGCGGCCGGAGGAGCUCGCCGGCGGCCGGAGCAUGCGCACGGGGAGGGCAGGAGAUGGCUGAGGCGGCUGGUGGACUAGGGCUAGCAGGAACGACCUAGGGUUAGGGUUUCCAAGCAAAAAAAUCUAACAUCAACCUAUAAAUGUAAGUGUAAAUUUGCCGAAAAGUCCUCCAAGACUCAACCAUUUAAUCUUAGUCCCUCACCGCACGAAUAAAACGUGCAUAAACCCCUCCACGUGCGAUUUCACGCGAAACGGUACAUAAAAUGUCGCAACUUUUGCGAAAUUACCGUUUUGCCAUCACCGACCUCUCCUCGAUCAACGCGCGAUCUCCGCAGAUCCGUCCGUCAGAUUUGCGAACGGAUUGCACCAGUGCGAUCAGCACCUCGGAGACAACAAAGCUACACUUUCGAUUCAUCUCGAUCGACCACGGAUUCACAACAAAAUCCAACCUUCUUCCAAUAGAAGGAAACACACACACAAAUACAUAUAAAACAUGUAUUUUUGGAUUUUCUCGAAAUCUGUGCGUCAAACUCAAAAUCCAUCAGCGCCACUAGUUCCAGAAUAGCUGAACCGGUCGAAACGAGCUAUUGGACUGAUAUGAACGGAGUCCGAUACGCACCAGAAGCCAACUCUACUCCGUGGCUUCUCCGGAAAACCGAAGUUACUAUUCACUUAAGUGAAAACUAAAAAUCGCGUAUCUUCUCCAUUUUAGCUCAGUUUCUCCUGAAACUUGACGAGUGCUUAUGUAAUUAAAUUACACACAUAAACAUCAUCAACAGAAAGUUUAGUUGCACUGUCAAAAAUCUCAGUCCUUACACAAUUUGCUUUUGAGCUAGAUUUCGGCUGCUCUAAUAAUCAAGCCGAAUAUGAGGCCUUAAUAAUUGGCCUCGAGAUUUUACAAAAUUUACGAGUUAAGUCAAUCAAGGUUAUCGGUGAUUCACAGUUAGUAAUUAAAUAAGUGAAUGGAGAAUACCGAUGCGAAAAUCGAAAUUUGCAAAAUUAUUUAAGAAAAACAAUAGAAUUGUUUUGCAGUUUCAGAGAAGUUCAAUUUAAGCAUUUGACCAGAGAGAAAAAUGAACAAGCAAAUGAAUUAGCCCAAUCGGCUUCAGGGUAUAUGUAGCGCACUGGACCUUUGCAAAUUUCGAGGUUCGAGUAUUCGAUUUGUAUUCCAAACUUUUCCACACUUGGUGGAGGGCCGUCGAUGGUAUACCGACCUAAAAGUUCGAUCUCGAGAGUUUUGGCAGAGUCCUGAGAGUUUUUACUCUCGGGGACCGGUCCCUGAUAAGAGAGACCGGUCCCCCAGUGAACAGUGCUGCGCAGCCGGCGAGGCAACCGGUCCCUGGCAGUCGAGACCGGUCCACGAGCGCGUCUGCGCGGGGAGAGACCGGUCCCGCGCAGGGAGAGACCGGUUCUCGAACGUUGAAUUUUCGGGGGCAGGCUGAGAGACCGGUCCCAGGUCGGGGAGACCGAUCCCUCUGGGCGAAAACUGCCCAGACCGGGCUGAUGUAAAUUUGAGUUUUUGAGGGACCUAAGUGGAUUUUGUUGCUUUUAAUGGCCUAUUUGGCCAUUUCACCCUCUUCUCUCCUCAUUUCUUCCCUUCCCACCUAUUCUAGAGAGAGAAGAAAAGAG
RNAcentral lists this long non-coding RNA (10109 nucleotides) under Ananas comosus (pineapple). RNAcentral's name for it is "long non-coding RNA (ACOM_LNC012077)". Lineage: Eukaryota; Viridiplantae; Streptophyta; Magnoliopsida; Poales; Bromeliaceae. The record is from RNAcentral.